Molecule: ribosomal RNA, 1236 nt
Filed under: Dentaliidae sp.
Lineage: Eukaryota; Metazoa; Mollusca; Scaphopoda; Dentaliida; Dentaliidae
Description: partial 28S ribosomal RNA
Rfam family: Eukaryotic large subunit ribosomal RNA
Source: RNAcentral
UACCCGCUGAAUUUAAGCAUAUCACUAAGCGGAGGAAAAGAAACUAACAAGGAUUCCCCCAGUAACGGCGAGUGAACAGGGAAGAGCCCAGCACCGAAUCCCUCGUCGCAUCGACGAAGGGAACUGUGGUGUUAAGGACGUUUCCAUGCCGGCGGUUCUGCUCGGGCACCAAUGUCCUCCGGACCGGGGCUUCAUCCAGAGCGGGUGUCAGGCCCAUGUCGGUUGCCGCGAGCCCGUCGCUCGGAGCGUCCGUGGAGUCGGGUUGUUUGAGAAUGCAGCCCAAAGUGGGUGGUAAACUCCAUCUAAGGCUAAAUACGGGCACGAGACCGAUAGCGGACAAGUACCGNNNNNNNNNNNNNNNNAGAACUUUGAAGAGAGAGUUCAAGAGUACGUGAAACCGUUUAGAGGUAAACGGGUGGACCCGCAGAGUCCGUCCGGGGGAUUCAGUUCGGCAUCUGUUCCGCGGGGCGCGCUGGUUUCGAUCCCUCCCUGGCCCUCGGGCUGGAGAGGACGGAGCCCGGCACGCUCUCUCUCGACGGUUCAGACGAGCGCAUUUCUCCCGGACAGUGCGCCACGACCGAUUUCGGCCCCGUCAGAAGCACGGAGCGGAAGGUGGCAGCGCCGCCUCCUCUCCUUCGUUGGGGGGGAACCAAGGCGUGCCGCUGCGUUACAGCCGUUCCGACGCGGACGGUGGCGUUCGAGAUCGAGGACCGCUCUCUUUCCCGCCGCGCGACGGCCCUGUGCCGGCAUUUCGCUAGACCUCGGCUCGCCACUGUUGUUUCGGCAGUGCCUGCUGGGUCUGCGAGCGGAAUUGGUCGGCGAGGGUGUCUCGAUCGUGCGCGGGUCGGACAAAGCUAGGGUCUGUGGCGAUAUCCGUCGGCAACCCACCCGACCCGUCUUGAAACACGGACCAAGGAGACCAACAUGUGCGCGAGUCGUAGGGUCGUUCGAAACCCGAAGGCGCAACGAAAGUGAAGGCCGCUGUUGCAGUGCUAGCCUAGGUGGGAUCCGUAGUGCCCGGCUCCCUGACCGGAGUCGCGUCGCGGCGCACCACCGGCCCGUCUCGAUCUGUUACCCGACCCAGACGAGGCGGAGCAAGAGCGUACACGUUGGGACCCGAAAGAUGGUGAACUAUGCCCGAGUAGGGCGAAGCCAGAGGAAACUCUGGUGGAAGUCCGCAGCGAUUCUGACGUGCAAAUCGAUCGUCGGACUUGGGUAUAGGGGCGAAAGACUAAU